CGAGAGAAUGCACAACUGCAGAGAGGCACAGAGAGAGAGAAAACAUGGGAUUAUACUUUCCAUAUAACACAAGGCACAGGAUAAACGGAGGUUACAGAGCAGCACACUGAAGAAACUGAGUCAGAAAGGGUUCCUUCUUCCAACUACUUCUGGAUGAUGUUGAUUGCUGCAUUGUCACAAAUUUGAAAGGUGCUAAACAUGCACAAAUACGCAAAAAAUUCUGGUAUUACCUCCCAAAGCAAAACAAACAAAAACCCCAAGCAGCAAUAAGAACACCUUUGGGUAGACACUGCGGCUUCUGUGGCUUUCAUCUCUUUGCCACUAGAUUUAAAAAACAAAUAUAAGCCCAAAGGCUAAAUCAAGGAACACUCCUGAUGUUUACUCUUGAUUAGCUCAAUAUUCCAAGUUCCUUUGUCUCACUGAAGCUUAAUUCUCACAGCUGUGUAUUUGGCUACAGCAAUUAUCCACCAAAACCAUGAAGCAAAGGACUGUCCAACAGGGAAAGAAAACAAUAUGUAGUUCUUAAAAGACACAAACAGAGUUUGCAGAUCUCCAUCAGCAAAGAAAACAUACAAUACAGAUUCACCCAUAAAGUUCAGAACAGGAAAGGCUCCGUACAUUUAAUAAGUAGCAAGAAGUAACAAGAUACCUUAUUUUACACUAACAACUUCUCAGCUGUCCCAUCUAUUCAGUUUAUUCAAUAUUUAUGGCAUUUCUGUGGGCAUUCAUGUGACAGAAGUAAAAAGAUUUGAUAUUACAGGACAGGGGUUAAACCAAACAUUAAGGAAAUACUCUGUCAGUUAUUCAGUACUGGAACCAAACUUCCCUAAAUCAAGUGUUCAGCAAUGGCCUAACAAGUUGUCACUGGUUUUCACAUUUGGUGACACCAAACAACGUAUACCAGCCAAACUACAAACACAGUAAAACACAACAACGAAAACACACAAAAAAAAUCUUAGCUUCCAUAGUAGUUUGUUUUUAAACACCGUGUCAGUCAUUCACACGAGAGGAUUCUCAGAAAACUGAGGACUGCAUGAUACCAAUCACAUCAUACAGAAUGCACCCACAAGGUGUCUUUAUAAGUCUCCAGCAUUCCCUUCCAAAACCCUGCUUUCCUCCUCCUGUCUACAGCCACAACACAUACAGACAUUGUUUGCAAGGACUGUGCUCUGAUCUGACAGCAGAGUACUGAAGAACUAUUAACUGCAUGUUGACAGCACAAUUCUUCUUGUGUACACUUUCAUUUUAAGAAAAGUGCUCACGUUCAAAAGAUACAAAAACUAAUUUUUAAUCCUGCAAAGAAUAAGUAUGCUAUAUAUGAACAUUGCAAAUCCUGAAAAAUAAAAAUAGACAGAGCUCCACAGGUCAUCAUUAUGGACCAAAACAACAAAUAUCUAAGCAUUAGACAGCUCCAAUUUCACUGCACAGGAACUGCCCGCUGUAAGAAGCUCCAGUGCAGGUAGGUGCUCUGUGGAGGACUAGUGACAUCUGGUGGCCUUCUGGGACAAACUAGCAACUUCCUGAGAGUUACAAUAUCCCUGCUUUCAACACAGGUUCCCUGAAUACUACAUCCAAAAUUAGCUGCUCUGAGACUCUUGAUCUUUUUUAUUUUCUCUUAAAGCCAUGGCCACCACCAACACACGAGUGAGCUACGCUCAGAAGAAUGUGCUCAGCAUGCAGUUUUCACCUUCAUCAAUUAAGAAGUUACCACUGCUGAAAGCCAGGGAAAUGAGACUCUUUUGCUCAGAGAGUAUAAACAGUGAUCUUUAUAUCUGUGCCUUCAAACACUUCCCCAAGUAUUGCUGAAACCUUAUCCCAAUCCAGGCGGUCCAGUCCACACCCAAUUCUGAAAAAUAAAACAUCAAAAUAACUGUAAUGAGCUCUUUUGGAGAAUGCUAUGAAUAACAAGCCCUCAACUCACCAUCAAUCAAUAUAAUACAGGUAAAAUAUGGAAAUAACCAAACCUGAAUGUACUUUAUCACUUAAACCCACAGGGGAACACAAGCUUCCUUUACACAACAGACCAGAAGAGUUACGGUCAAGUUGAUAUUGAACUCUCAGAGUAGGAGAUCAUUUCUCAAAAACAUCCUCCUACCCAAGAAACACUGAAUUGUUUACACAGCACUAAUUUUCUUACUUGGGCAUGGAAAUGUCAGUAACUCCGUUGUUUAGACAGUGAGUUUUCAUGGCUUCUAAACUCUUUCGCAUGUCCUCAUAUGUUGGUUUGUGAGAAACUUUCUUCUUUGUAAUCAGGUAGUAAAUAUACCGGUCAUCUCUUUGGAGAACUGCCACCUCCCCGGUCUUCUUUUGUUGAUCUAACAGCUCUUGGACGCCUCCAAACUUUUUCUUAAAAAGAACAGCUAUGCCUGCACCCAUGCGACAGUCCUCACUGAUGCAAUGAGCCAACGCGUCCGUUGGGGGGCAGGAAAACAGGUCACCCUUAACACACUUGAUUUGCUCCCCCUGCUCCUGGACGUGGGUGGCCAUGGUAACGUGGGCUAUGGUGAAGGCUUCUGUGGCCGCGGGCACGACGUGAAGAACAGACUGCCGGGCCUGGGCCGGCACCGCUGCAAGCCUGGCAAGCCUGCCCAGCACAGCCCACAUCGCUCGGCCCACUCCGUCACCUCCACUACAGCACUCUCG
RNAcentral lists this long non-coding RNA (2643 nucleotides) under Gallus gallus (chicken). Lineage: Eukaryota; Metazoa; Chordata; Aves; Galliformes; Phasianidae. The record is from RNAcentral.